GAUGAAGAACGUAGCGAAAUGCGAUAAGUAAUGUGAAUUGCAGAAUUCAGUGAAUCAUCGAAUCUUUGAACGCACAUUGUGCCCCCUGGUAUUCCGGGGGGCAUGCCUGUUCGAGCGUCAUUUCACCACUCAAGCCUCGCUUGGUAUUGGGCAUCGCGGUCCGCCGCGCGCCUCAAAUCGACCGGCUGGGUCUUCUGUCCCCUAAGCGUUGUGGAAACUAUUCGCUAAAGGGUGUUCGGGAGGCUACGCCGUAAAACAACCCCAUUUCUAAGGUUGACCUCGGAUCAGGUAGGGAUACCCGCUGAACUUAAGCAUAUCAAUAAGCGGAGGA
Molecule: unclassified non-coding RNA, 331 nt
Filed under: soil metagenome
Description: partial contains 5.8S ribosomal RNA, internal transcribed spacer 2, and large subunit ribosomal RNA
Rfam family: 5.8S ribosomal RNA (bases 1-120)
Source: RNAcentral